Salvelinus fontinalis (brook trout) is the source of this 4295-nucleotide long non-coding RNA. RefSeq lists it as uncharacterized. The transcript has 2 exons. Lineage: Eukaryota; Metazoa; Chordata; Actinopteri; Salmoniformes; Salmonidae. The record is from RefSeq and is a predicted model, not a curated record.
UGGGGUGCAAGCCCGACCUCGGACCAAAAAUGACAACAGCUGCAGAGCGCGAAAUUCAAAAUCUAUUUUUUUAAAAUAUUUAACUUUUACACAUUAACAAGUCCAAUACAGCAUUUGAAAGAUAAACAUCUUGUCAAUCCAGCCAACAUGUCCGAUUUUUUAAAUGUUUUACAGAGAAAACACCACAUAUAUUUAUGUUAGCUCACCACCAAAUACAAAAGUGGACAGACACGUAUGAAUUAUGAUUAUGAAGUAUGAAUUAUGAUUGAAGUAGCAUGCACAACCAACCGAAAUAAACUAAAACCAACCUAAAGAGCCCAGAAAAAACGACCUCAGAUGACAGUCAUAUAACAUGUUACACAAUAAAUCUAUGUUUUGUUCAUAAAAAGUGCAUAUUUUAGCUAUAAAUCUGUUUUACAUUGAUGCUACCCAAAAAUGCUAACACAUAGCUAGAGUCUGAAUCCAGCCGGGAGUAGCCAGAGAAAAUACAUACACCAACGUCGGCUACUAAUUACACCUCAUAAAACAUUUCAGAAAAACAUAUGGUGGAUAACUAAUGAAAGACAGAUAUCUUGUGAAUACAGACAACAUUUCCGAUUUUUGAAGUGUUUUACAGCGAAAACACAAUAUAUCGUUAUAUUAGCUAACAUCAUAAGCUAGCAUAAGGCAGCAUUGAUUCUAGUCAAGCGCUAGCCUAGCAUAGUUAGCAGCGUUAGCAUUCAACAGUUCGACAUAUAUAUGAAAAAGCAUCCCAAAUUGGGUCUUAUCUUUCUUGGUACUCCAUCAGAAUGUUGUAACGGGGUCCAAUGUCCAGUAGAGUCUUUAGUUGGGUUCCAGAACGAAGGAUUCCCCUCUUUGGUUAGCUAGCACGGUAGCAUUGCUGCGCCAGAAAGCGUUUCUUCAAAAAAUUCUUCCGUCGUUUCACAUCUAAAGUCCAGAAUAAAUUGCAAUAAUAUAAUUAAAGUAUAUUGAAAAAACAACCUUUAGGAUGAUUUUGUGACAUGUAGCAAAUAAUAUCGUAGUCAGGCAUCAUAUUCAAAGUUACCUACCUUGUUCCAGAAGCCGAGAUCAAAUUAUCCUUCGCGCCCGGAUUUUUAUUUUAACUGCGCAUGUCUCACAAGAAGUUCUGUUAUUCAGUCCAGGGACGAGAUAUUCGACCCCUUUCAAUUCUCACUUCCGCAUUACAGUCUGAGGUACGCCUCUGACGUGUCCGUAUGGUCCUAAGUCAAACGGCCUUUUAUAGAGAAGGUCUUAAAGAGACACAUCGCAUUUUGGGAAACUCAAUUCGGCUGGGAAAAUGGCUGUAAAAAUAUUUCUGUUUGACUUAGAGAAACAAUUCAAACCUUUUUAGAAACUACAGACUGUUAUCUAUCCAACAGUAGUAAAUAUAUGCAUAUUGGAAAAUAAAAAGUUUCUUAGGAGGCCGUUUGAAAAUGUGCACACAUUUUCCAGUUUUUUCAAUAUUCAGCGUGCAGCCAUAACAGGUUAUACCCUGCGCGGAGAUACAGUGAACCCGUAUAUACGAACAUUGCAUUUACCAUUUAUCGCUUGAGUUUAAUUAAAAUACUUAAAAUAUAUUCGGUGACUCUGAAUCACAUUUUGUCCUGAUACCAGAUUUGAACUGACGCAAAUCAUUUUCAAUAGCGCCAGGCUGUAUGAAUUGGCUCCAAAAUAAUCCCUUGGUAAGCUACCAUCGGCUGUCCAAGGAACCACAAUUUUUGAAGAAGUGGCUCCAUGUCCCGAAGAGGAAGGACAUGCCAGCUUGAGCUAGUAGGAUGUGCAGACAGCACUUCGUGGAGUCAGACUUCGCGAUGAAGGGCACUUUCUAUGCGGCAACUGGGAGUUUCUGAAUGGAAAGGAGUCAUAGGCCUACCCUGAAGCCCUCUGCUUGCGCCUCCAUUUGACAUUAAGAGGGUUAUGGUGUAGUAGUUACCGACCGAUCAACAUCGCUGACUUUGGAGUCAAGCAAAAGCAACGGAACAGAGGAGGUGACGCGAGUCAAUGCAAUGCCAGGAGCCUGAGGAAAGAAUGGUUAGUACAGCAUGCCAAACUGACCCCUGUGUGCCAGAGUGUUCCUGUGCUGCGGUAGAGAAGAGGUCCACUGGGACCAGCACUAAAGAACUUGGGGCCCAGCUAGAUUGCGCUCACGACCAUCAGUAUACAACCGAGUCUGUAUACUGAUACUGAGUCCCCUAUACGCCACAGAUGGAGCUGACGGAGAGCGAGAUCAGUGAAGACCAAAACUCGCUGUAUGAACCUGAGAGCUCAGAAUCACAAUCAUCACAGAGCGAGCCAAGAUAUACUAUCAAUCACUUUGGGGGAGCGGGAUGGUGUUCUGAAAAUGGAGAAGGAGCAGGCCAUUCAACAGCCAAUUCAAAGAUACACCCAUCCAUAAAGGGAAUCGGAGUGGAAUUGUUUUUCCACAGAUUUUUUUUUACCCGUUUCAAUGGAUGUGCUACCUUGUCCCGGCCCUGCUGUUUCGACUCUCUCAACCUAUGAAUGCUCAGCUAUGAAAAGCCAACUGACAUUUGGUCCUGAGGUGUUGAACUGUUGCACCCUCUAUAAUCACUGUGGUUAUUAUUUUUGAUGCUAAAAGGGCUUUUGUAAAAUACAUUUGAAUGAUUGUCUGCUGUACUGGAUGCUGUGUAUUCACUAACUGUCUGAGUGAUGUGACAUUUAUAGUAUCUGUAACACAUUUUGGUGUGUAUUUAAUCUGCAUCUUAUUUUCUUAAAGUGGGAAUCAUCAGUAGAAACAAUAAAUCUCCCUGCUCCUUACUCGGUAAAAAGCUGAGGGAUGGGCCUGGAGAAAUGUAACCACUCUCAAAUUCAUAGACAGAGCUAUAGAUGCAAGGACUGACCGUCCAUGAUUUCAAAAUUGUAAUCCUGUUUCUGAUCUGUUUCCACCUCCAUGUACCCUGUUCGGUUUGGAUAAAGGCGCCUGCUAAAUGGCAUAUAUUAUUAAAGUCUCCUUUAACUCUGCCAACUAGUUGCCCAGUGUAGUUAACAUUCCUUUCCAAUAGAUGGCAGUCAAAGCUAGUUGAAGUCACUCUAGCGGCAAUGACAGGGAUUACUACGCACUGAAAGUAGUAAUCCCGAAAGUAGUCAUUUAUUUUUAAAGCAAGUUUAUCUGGUUACGCUUGAUCCUGUUGUUUAUAUUGGACAAGCUAACUAAUACUAUUUUUACAUAUGGAAGAAACGACACACGCUGGAAUGAAACGCCGUACACCUCGUCCAAUUCUCCCUUUUGCCCAUAGGGUGAACUGGAAAAAUCAUAAGAAAAGUUAGUCUGAUACCGAAACUAAAUCACAUAAUGAGCACGCCCCAUUAUUGGUUAGAAUGAGAUGUCAUGAAUCAUGAUGUCUGCGAUUCCAACCGGUCGUCUAAUCUAAAGGUAAAUGUGUUACCAUAGCGCCAAACAGCGCUGGUGAUAAACAUCUUUAUAGGGUACUGAUUAUGUAUAUUGAGCACCGACCCACUACAGAUAUUAACCUUAAACAAUUUAUAAUCAAGCUAAAUGUCACCAAUUAUUUAACUGGCAUAUCGGCUGCUGACUGGUCGAGAAACCUCUUCUGCCAGUAAGUACUUCAUAACGAUUAGUGACACGUCCAAUAAAUACAUCGCCAGACAUACAGGAACCUCUGACUGGAUGUAAUACAUCACCAUCCAGACAGACUGACAGGAACCUCUGACUGGAUGUAAUACAUCACCAUCCAGACAGACUGACAGGAACCUCUGACUGGAGGUAAUACAGCCACCAUCCAGACAGACUGACAGGAACCUCUGACUGGAGGUAAUACAUCACCAUCCGGACAGACUGACAGGAACCUCUGACUGGAUGUAAUACAUCACCAUCCAGACAGACUGACAGGAACCUCUGACUGGAUGUAAUACAUCACCAUCCAGACAGACUGACGGGAACCUCUGACUGGAUGUAAUACAUCACCAUCCAGACAGACUGACAGGAACCUCUGACUGGGUGUAAUACAUCACCAUCCAGACAGACUGACAGGAACCUCUGACUGGAGGUAAUACAGCCACCAUCCGCUGGGAUUUUGUGCUGUAUCGCAACCAAUUCAAGGGGCUUUAUUGGCAUGGGAAACGUGUUAACAUUGCCAAAAGCAAGUGAGGUAGAUAAUAUACAAAAGUGAAAUAAAAAAUAAAAAUGAACAGUAAACAUUACACAUACAGAAGUUUCAAAACAAAGACAUUACAAAUGUCAUUAUGUAUAUUUACAGUGUUGUAACAAUGUACAAAUGGUUAAGGUACACAAGGGAAAAUAAAUAAGCAUAAAUAUG